AUGGCGGCCCCGGUGGCUCUCACCAUCUUCCUGCUGAUCCUCCUCCCAGCGCACCAUGCUCUUGCCACGGCGGCCGGCGACGCGCACCCAGGCUACGCGGACACCGAGACCGACACCUGCGGGCCGGCGCUGGACCUGGGCGGUUCCUCCUCUUCCGCAGGUGCGGCCGGUCGGCGCUACGGCCCGGGGCUGGAGGAGUACGGCGGCGGGCGCAUCGUGGACAUUACACACGCGUUCCGGCCAGGCAUGCCGGCGUACGCGCCGGGCGCGACGGUGGGCCCCAUCGUGCGGCUCAAGGAGUCGAUGAAGAACGGGUCGGACUACAACUUGUCGGAGCUCAGCAUGGAGUGCCACAUAGGAACCCACGUCGACGCGCCGGGGCACUUUAACCAGGCCCACUUCGCCGCCGGCCUCGACGUCGACACGCUCGACCUCGAAGUCCUCAACGGUCCUGCAUUACUGGUCGAUGUUCCGAGACACACAAAUAUAACAGCUGAAGCAAUGGAAUCCCUAAAUAUACCGAAAGGUGUUCGUCGUGUUCUCUUCAGGACAUUGAACACAGACAGGGGACUCAUGUGGAAGGAAGGAGGUGAUAUGAGUUACGUUGGAUUUACGGAGGAUGGUGCCCAGUGGCUUGUUGACAACACCGACAUCAAGCUGGUUGGUCUGGACUAUUUAUCUAUUGCAUCAUUUGAUCACGCGUGCUCUGCCCAUGUGGUCUUCUUAAAAAAUGCGGAUAUCAUCUUAGUUGAACAUCUGAAGCUAGAAUACGUCGAGACCGGAUUAUACAUGUUGCACUGCUUACCUCUAAGAUUGGUUGGAUCUGACGGUUCACCAAUCAGGUGCAUUCUUAUCAAGUGA
Molecule: ribosomal RNA, 861 nt
Filed under: Triticum aestivum (bread wheat)
Lineage: Eukaryota; Viridiplantae; Streptophyta; Magnoliopsida; Poales; Poaceae
Description: partial small subunit ribosomal RNA
Source: RNAcentral